Long non-coding RNA from Astyanax mexicanus (Mexican tetra), 1721 nucleotides. RefSeq lists it as uncharacterized. The record is from RefSeq and is a predicted model, not a curated record. The transcript is spliced from 3 exons. NCBI's taxonomy places the organism in Eukaryota, Metazoa, Chordata, Actinopteri, Characiformes, Acestrorhamphidae.
CUGAAAAAAAUGAUUCUUUGUCUCAACAAGCCAUACUUAAAAAAAAUCAAUAAAUACUACUUAAAAUAUUUAUGUUUUUGGAUUUACUUAAUAUAAUUGAGUAUAUGCUAUUUAGAAAUGUCAUUAUUCUCUGAACUUAGAUUAAUACAUUGUGUGAACGAAUAUUUUUUUAGUUGUUUCAACUUCCAGUCAAAUUUAAGUUCGUUCAACUUGAGGCUGCAUUGAUCCUUGUGAAACGUCAUCGCCUCCGCCAUAUUAGUCAGGUCAAAACUAGUGUGUAAACAUAUUCACAAGUUAAAUGUUUUCUUCCUGGAUAAACAGCACAACAUGAUUUAUUAUCAACACCGUCGAUUUAUUUUUGUGUUCAGCGGCUUAGGAGCGUAUUUUUCAGGUUAUCUUACUUAAAUUAUGAGAAACUGACCUCACCAAUAUGGCGGCGACGGUGACCCGUUCAGCGGAGAAUGCGCAUGUCUGGACGCUUGAACGCGCCAAAUCGAGAUGAAGACGACGCAAGUCAUCACCUCCAUGGUUCCACUCUUUGCACUACUCGUGUCAGCGCCGGUAUGAGAACUUUUACCAGAUAAAAGAAGAAUUCAAAAGAAUUACAACCAUUGAGCUGGAAACAACAUUCGUUGCAAAUUUGGACAAGCACACAGUGAGGCUCCUGUCUUUGUUCUCUGCUAAAGGAGGUGCUGGUGGACGGAAGAUGGGUCAACUUCUGGAUCUUUUGAAGCAGGGUGCUCCAUCUGAUGAAGUAAAAGAGGAUCUUGCACAGCAUACAAUCAAAAUUGUCACCAAAGGUGGUUCUACGGAGGAUGACCCAUUGGAUGUUGGGAUUGUGCUGGAAGGCAGAGAAGUACUGUCUGGGUUGUCCAGUGUAGCAAGGGCGUGUGCCUUGUUACUAGGUCUGAUCUAUGCUGUGAACCUUAGUUACCCCAAACAACUCAGGUACACGUUUGAAUUUUGUCAAAAGAUGCUGUUAGAACUGGACAGUGGGAAACUUUCACCAAAAGUGCACGCACUGAAGUCCAAGUUGCUGAGUUAAAUGUGUGGAUAUCAGUGUCUCAAAAGAGGUAUGUGCAAGUUGCUAAGCAGUAGGUCUCAGGGACUUUUGUUUUGUGUAAAGUGAUGCUAUUUUUGGCUAAUGACAUGUUGUCAUGUUGUAAUAUUGAAACAUUGCCUUGACUACAACUUUCAGUUUGUUUUAUGCACUUUAUAGGCUAACAGCAGUGAAAAAAAAACAUUUUAAAUGGAUUUUCUUUAGUUUUGUGUAACUUGCUGCAAUUUAUGGUCACUGAUGUUGUUGGCAUAUUCUAAUGACAGUGUUGUCUUUGUAAGAAGUUUAUUGUAUAUAUAUAUAUUUGUAAGUCAGUUUAUUGUUUGCACUGUAGUCCCCCCCCCCCAUACUUUUACUAGUCAGCCAUCAAUCAUUAGGAUUUUAAAACUCCUAAAAUGUUUGGAUUUUUCAGAUGAUUGACUGUUAAAGUUGACUGUUAAAACUGGCAAGCUUUUGUUCAUUUAAAACUAUACAGCAGGUCUCAAGGCCUCUUUAAGGAGUCUGUUUUGUUUUGCACUUAAUCUGAAUCUGUAUGUUGGACUGAGAAACUGAGUUUUUGGUUUCAAUUCUUAAAUAUUUUAGGAAUUUAAAAAUACUGUACCUCAACUUCAUGCAUUGUUAAUGUAUGAGUAAGAAAUGUAUUAAUAAAAAUAAAUUCAAGUAA